RNAcentral lists this long non-coding RNA (1311 nucleotides) under Gallus gallus (chicken). RNAcentral's name for it is "long non-coding RNA NONGGAT008117". The record is from RNAcentral. Lineage: Eukaryota; Metazoa; Chordata; Aves; Galliformes; Phasianidae.
CAGCCCAUCAAAGCCUGGAGGUCAUUCAUCCUCAUUCUCUGGCACUUAUCAACAAACCCAGUGAACUUUUCUUUAAUGCAGACAUGCUAAACAGCAUCGAAGACAACGGAGAUGUACAUCCAUUAACAACAGCACAGCUGUCAUUUUAGACAUUAGCAUAAAAUGUUUGGUCAGAGAGAUUUCAUGCGCUAAAUAAAAGAUUUGCAAAGAGCCUGCCUGGUGAUGAACAGCCAGGGUGGAAAAGUCAUCCCAUAGUCCUGUUUUCCAACAACCUCUUUCAUGUAGGAGGCCCCGUGAGAUCCUUCACCAGCUAUUCAUCAAGUGCCACUGAAAUGUCCACUGGAGCUCUCUGGAGAAGAGUUUGAUACCAGAUAGUUAAAUGUUUUCUGUGCAGCGACAGUUCUCAGAAACCUUUUGAGAAUACCCUCCAGCAUUUUCUGGGAUGAUUAAAUACGACUUGGAAACCACGUUUCUCCAAUGAGAUCACGAGGAAAGGAAUUUCCUUGGUACAAAAUCCCCCUCUUGUUCCCUGGAUGAUGUCAGGUGGAGAAUCAAGACACUGGAUCUAAAGGUGGCACUGGCUGAAACCUUUGCCGGCUCCCUCCCCUGCCUGGCUGCAACCACAAGUUUCUCCGGGAGAGGAGUCCAGCAGCACAGCCAGGAGGCAUCGAUUCAAACGGCAUGCGAGGAGCUCACUGAACCACCAGUGCCUCCAUUUACCAAGGAGGUGGAGUAGAGACAACACCAGCUGUCCGCCUGUCUCAAGCUGGAUUCAGGCAGCACUUCAAAAAUAGCAAGAGUUGGUUUGGUAUCAGUUGUGAACCUGAUGGGGCUGGUCAGAACCACACGGGUUUCCUGGGCCGAGACCGCAGCAAGAAAUGAGCUUCGCAGUGUAACUGAGUGACGGUGUAUAGGAAGAACCCAUCCCCUAAAAAAAUGCUCACGGAGAGAAGAGCUUAAGGGAUGAUAUUAAGUUGGACAACCACGUUAAACUGCAUCUGAAAAGGAAAUUGGUAAUUCCUCAUCUAUUUUUUGAUGAAAAAUGGGGCUUUUUUUUUAUAAUGAAAAGCAUUUUUAUGGAGCAAUCCUGUGAGAUGCCAAAUGUUUUGGCCCUGAUCUAGCUAGAUAUUUAACCAUGCACUUCAUUUCUUAAGCUGCUCAUGUGCCUAACCAUUUUGCUGGAUCAAGCCCAGAGCUCUCAGCAUUUGGUGAGGUGUCAAAGGACCAGGGCUGUGUUUGCAGUAGCAUUACUGAACUCAGCAUAUAAUGAUUUUAAUCAUCAUACAGAAAACAUUUCCCGCAAAUGUACUA